CACGGGGGGAGCAAGCGUUGUUCGGAAUCACUGGGCGUAAAGCGCACGUAGGCGGCUUUUUAAGUCAGAGGUGAAAUCCUGGAGCUCAACUCCAGAACUGCCUUUGAUACUGAGAAGCUUGAGUCCGGGAGAGGUGAGUGGAACUGCGAGUGUAGAGGUGAAAUUCGUAGAUAUUCGCAAGAACACCAGUGGCGAAGGCGGCUCACUGGCCCGGUACUGACGCUGAGGUGCGAAAGCGUGGGGAGCAAACAGG
This 253-nucleotide ribosomal RNA is filed under the name uncultured bacterium. RNAcentral describes it as "partial 16S ribosomal RNA". It matches the Rfam family "Bacterial small subunit ribosomal RNA", at positions 524 to 776 of the family's 1533-position model. The record is from RNAcentral.